CUACACAUGCAGUCGAGCGGUACAGGAGAAGCUUGCUUCUCGCUGACGAGCGGCGGACGGGUGAGUAAUACUUAGGAAUCUACCUAGUAGUGGGGGAUAGCUCGGGGAAACUCGAAUUAAUACCGCAUACGACCUACGGGAGAAAGGGGGCAACUUGUUGCUCUCGCUAUUAGAUGAGCCUAAGUCGGAUUAGCUAGAUGGUGGGGUAAAGGCCUACCAUGGCGACGAUCUGUAGCUGGUCUGAGAGGAUGAUCAGCCACACCGGGACUGAGACACGGCCCGGACUCCUACGGGAGGCAGCAGUGGGGAAUAUUGGACAAUGGGGGCAACCCUGAUCCAGCCAUGCCGCGUGUGUGAAGAAGGCCUUUUGGUUGUAAAGCACUUUAAGCAGUGAAGAAGACUCCAUGGUUAAUACCCAUGGACGAUGACAUUAGCUGCAGAAUAAGCACCGGCUAACUCUGUGCCAGCAGCCGCGGUAAUACAGAGGGUGCAAGCGUUAAUCGGAAUUACUGGGCGUAAAGCGAGCGUAGGUGGCUUGAUAAGUCAGAUGUGAAAGCCCCGGGCUUAACCU
Molecule: ribosomal RNA, 571 nt
Filed under: bacterium het-w-10
Lineage: Bacteria
Description: bacterial SSU rRNA
Rfam family: Bacterial small subunit ribosomal RNA
Source: RNAcentral